UACGGGGGGGCAAGCGUUGUUCGGAAUUACUGGGCGUAAAGGGCGCGUAGGCGGCCCUCUAAGUCAGACGUGAAAUCCCUCGGCUCAACCGGGGAACUGCGUCUGAUACUGGAGGGCUUGAAUCCGGGAGAGGGAUGUGGAAUUCCAGGUGUAGCGGUGAAAUGCGUAGAUAUCUGGAGGAACACCGGUGGCGAAGGCGGCAUCCUGGACCGGUAUUGACGCUGAGGCGCGAAAGCUAGGGGAGCAAACGGG
This 252-nucleotide ribosomal RNA is filed under the name uncultured bacterium. RNAcentral describes it as "partial 16S ribosomal RNA". It matches the Rfam family "Bacterial small subunit ribosomal RNA", at positions 524 to 776 of the family's 1533-position model. The record is from RNAcentral.